UCGAUGUCACUCCAGACCAUAUCCUAAACUCCUGAAAACUAAUUGGUUAAACGUUUGCCUGGGCUUACCCCUGUAAGCAACGAAUUGGGUUGCCAGCAUGCCGGGAUUGCGACAUUAAACGAAAAGGAGGGGAUAGUGGCCGGUACGUAAUAAGUCAGCGUGCGAUUUUGUCUUAUAUUGAGUAAAAGUGGAAGUGCUAAAGCACAUAUCAAACUAAAUCUUUAAGGAUUUUACGGCCAAACUGUGUAAAAAUGAUCUACACCCACUUUUUACAGGGAAUAAGGAAUUAAUCAUGCCAACUGAAUUGAGAUAUUCACUGACUACGACUGUUAUUACCUUAGGUCUGAUUGUUGCAACGGCGCUGAUUGCCAUCCUGCAUUAAGGC
This 385-nucleotide small RNA is filed under the name Mangrovibacter sp. MFB070. RNAcentral's name for it is "Enterobacterial sRNA STnc550". It matches the Rfam family "Enterobacterial sRNA STnc550". The record is from Rfam by way of RNAcentral. Lineage: Bacteria; Pseudomonadati; Pseudomonadota; Gammaproteobacteria; Enterobacterales; Enterobacteriaceae.